GCCCGGGUGGUGGAACUGGCAGACACACAGGACUCAAAAUCCUGCGGGAGCAAUCUCAUGAGGGUUCGACUCCCUCCCCGGGCA
This 84-nucleotide transfer RNA is filed under the name Candidatus Uhrbacteria bacterium RIFCSPLOWO2_02_FULL_49_11. RNAcentral describes it as "tRNA-Leu". It matches the Rfam family "tRNA". From Rfam's summary of the family: Transfer RNA (tRNA) molecules are approximately 80 nucleotides in length. Their secondary structure includes four short double-helical elements and three loops (D, anti-codon, and T loops). Further hydrogen bonds mediate the characteristic L-shaped molecular structure. tRNAs have two regions of fundamental functional importance: the anti-codon, which is responsible for specific mRNA codon recognition, and the 3' end, to which the tRNAs corresponding amino acid is attached (by aminoacyl-tRNA synthetases). tRNAs cope with the degeneracy of the genetic code in two manners: having more than one tRNA (with a specific anti-codon) for a particular amino acid; and 'wobble' base-pairing, i.e. permitting non-standard base-pairing at the 3rd anti-codon position. Lineage: Bacteria; Candidatus Uhriibacteriota. The record is from RNAcentral.